UGUUUUCAUACCUUGGGUUAAUAACAUAUAUUAUUAAAAUUAAUUUCUCUGGUUUCAUUUUACUUUUUUCUGAUUUCGCUAUUGGAACAUUUAAAGUCACACAGGAGGCUCACAUUUUAUUUCUAUGGAUCCAUAUCAGCCUUGUCCAGGACAGAGAGCAUCCCACCAUCCCUAAACCGAUAGAAGAUGGUCCAAAAAAAAAUGCUGCGAUAAACAUUAUUUUGUGGCUGGGCAUGGUGGCUCAAGCCUGUAAUCCCAGCACUUUGGGAGGCCGAGGCGGGUGGAUCAUGACGUCAGGAGAUCAAGACCACCCUGGCUAACAUGGUGAAACCCCGUCUCUACUAAAAAAACAAAAAUACAAAAAAUUAGCUGGGCACCGUGGCGGGUGCUGGGUGUAGUCUCAGCUACUUGGGAGGCUGAGACAGGAGAAUGGCAUCAAAAAGAGCUUGAAGUGAGCAGAGAUCGCGCCGCUGCACUCUAGCAUGGGCGACAGAGCAAAACUGUGUCUCAAAGAAAAACAAAACAAAACAUUAUUUUGCUUACAUCUUUUUGAACAUGCGUGAAUGUUAUUUUAGAAUUUCUAGAAGUGAAAUGGUGGACUAGGGGUUAGUCCUGUUUUUAUUUUGAUAAAUAUUGCCAAAUUUUCCUCCAAAAGAAUUUUAACAAUUUAUAUCUGACUGAUGGUACAGUCAGAAAAGGGGUACUGAUGCCCCUUUUCCCACAUCCCCCCGCCCAACAUUUUGUCAGCCUUUUGUUUUCCUAUUCAAAUGGGUAGUCAAGGCCAUUGGUGUUUAAGUACCUAUUUCCCAGGCUUCGAAGAGAGAAACUAAGGGAAUCUGCCUUUUAUAUUGGAUA
This 855-nucleotide long non-coding RNA is filed under the name Homo sapiens (human). Its description in RNAcentral is "HSALNT0258333". Lineage: Eukaryota; Metazoa; Chordata; Mammalia; Primates; Hominidae. The record is from RNAcentral.